CUACGGGUUGCUCCAGUGAGGAAUAUUGGUCAAUGGGCGCGAGCCUGAACCAGCCAUCCCGCGUGCAGGAUGACGGCCCUAUGGGUUGUAAACUGCUUUUCUAUGCCAAGAAACCCUGUUACGAGUAACAGGUUGCCGGUAGCAUAGGAAUAAGCAUCGGCUAACUCCGUGCCAGCAGCCGCGGUAAUACGGAGGAUGCAAGCGUUAUCCGGAUUCAUUGGGUUUAAAGGGUGCGCAGGUGGGCUGGUAAGUCAGUGGUGAAAUGCUGCCGCUUAACGGUAGAACUGCCAUUGAUACUGCGAGUCUUGAGUAUGGUUGAGGUAGGCGGAAUGUGUUGUGUAGCGGUGAAAUGCAUAGAUAUGACACAGAACGCCAAUUGCGAAGGCAGCUUACUAAGCCAUUACUGACGCUGAGGCACGAAAGCGUGGGGAGCGAACAGGAUUAGAUACCCCAGUAGUC
Molecule: ribosomal RNA, 459 nt
Filed under: uncultured bacterium
Lineage: Bacteria
Description: partial 16S ribosomal RNA
Rfam family: Bacterial small subunit ribosomal RNA
Source: RNAcentral